RNAcentral lists this ribosomal RNA (441 nucleotides) under uncultured organism. RNAcentral describes it as "bacterial SSU rRNA". It matches the Rfam family "Bacterial small subunit ribosomal RNA", at positions 346 to 780 of the family's 1533-position model. The record is from RNAcentral.
GCGCAGCAGGCGAGAAUUUUUCUCAAUGGGGGAAACCCUGAAGGAGCGACGCCGCGUGGAGGAUGAAGGCUUUCGGGUUGUAAACUCCUGUCAUUUGAGAACAAGUGGCCGAACGUAACUACUUCGGCCUUGAUAGUAUCAGAAGAGGAAGGGACGGCUAACUCUGUGCCAGCAGCCGCGGUAAUACAGAGGUCUCAAGCGUUGUUCGGAUUCAUUGGGCGUAAAGGGUGCGUAGGUGGCGCCGUAAGUCGGGUGUGAAAUUUCGGAGCUUAACUCCGAAACUGCAUUCGAUACUGCGGUGCUUGAGGGCUGGAGAAGAGACUGGAAUUUACGGUGUAGCAGUGAAAUGCGUAGAGAUCGUAAGGAAGACCAGUGGCGAAGGCGGGUCUCUGGACAGUUCCUGACACUGAGGCACGAAGGCCAGGGGAGCAAACGGGAUUA